CUCGUGGGGAAUCUACCUUUUGCUACGGAAUAACGCAGGGAAACUUGUGCUAAUACCGUAUGUGCCCUUCGGGGGAAAGAUUUAUCGGCAAAGGAUGAGCCCGCGUUGGAUUAGCUAGUUGGUGGGGUAAAGGCCUACCAAGGCUACGAUCCAUAGCUGGUCUGACAGGAUGAUCAGCCACAUUGGGACUGAGACACGGCCCACACUCCUGCGGGAGGCGACAUUGGGGAAUAUUGGACAAUGGGCGCAAUCCUGAUCCAGCCAUGCCGCGUGAGUGAUGAAUGCCUUAUGGUUGUAAAGGUCUUUCGCCGGUGAAGAUAAUGACGGUAACCGGACAACAAGCCCCGGCUAACUUCGAGCCAGCAGCCGCGGCAAUACGAACGGGGCUAGCGUUGUUCCGAUUUACUGGGCGUAAAGCGCACAUAUGCGGAUCUAUCAAUGAUGGGUGAAAUCCCAGGGCUCAACCCUGGAACUGCCUUUGAUACUGUCGAUCUGGAGUAUGGAAUAGGUGAGUGGAAUUCCGACUGUACACGUGAAAUUCAUAGAUAUUCGGAGGAACACCACUGGCGAACGCGGUUCACUGGUCCUUACUGACGCUGAGGUGCGAAAGCGUGGGGAGCGNCAUGAUUACAUACCCUGGCACUCCACUCCGUAAACUAUGAAUGUUAGCCGUCNGGCAGUAUACUGUUCGGCGGCGCAGCUAACGCAUUAAUCAUUCACUCUGGCGAGUACNGUCGCAAUANNAAAACUCACAGGAAUUGACNNGGGCCCGCACANNCGGGGAGCAUGGGGUUAAUUCCAAGCAUCGCGCNNAACCUUACCAGCCUUGACAUCCUACGANNGCUGCNNAGAUGCANUAUCACUUCAGUGNCGUACAGANAGGUGCUGCAUGGNUGUCGACAUAUCCGUCGNNNNNUNGUUNGGUUACGNCCUNAUCUACCCCAGCCNNGACCUANUAGCCNUAUUCUUGGCNNUNUACGGANUGUCGU
Molecule: ribosomal RNA, 989 nt
Filed under: Rhizobium sp.
Lineage: Bacteria; Pseudomonadati; Pseudomonadota; Alphaproteobacteria; Hyphomicrobiales; Rhizobiaceae
Description: partial 16S ribosomal RNA
Rfam family: Bacterial small subunit ribosomal RNA
Source: RNAcentral